UGGGGAAUUUUGGACAAUGGGCGAAAGCCUGAUCCAGCAAUGCCGCGUGUGUGAAGAAGGCCUUCGGGUUGUAAAGCACUUUUGUCCGGAAAGAAAUGGCUCUGGUUAAUACCUGGGGUCGAUGACGGUACCGGAAGAAUAAGGACCGGCUAACUACGUGCCAGCAGCCGCGGUAAUACGUAGGGUCCAAGCGUUAAUCGGAAUUACUGGGCGUAAAGCGUGCGCAGGCGGUUGUGCAAGACCGAUGUGAAAUCCCCGAGCUUAACUUGGGAAUUGCAUUGGUGACUGCACGGCUAGAGUGUGUCAGAGGGGGGUAGAAUUCCACGUGUAGCAGUGAAAUGCGUAGAGAUGUGGAGGAAUACCGAUGGCGAAGGCAGCCCCCUGGGAUAACACUGACGCUCAUGCACGAAAGCGUGGGGAGCAAACAGGAUUAGAUACCCUGGUAGUCCACGCCCUAAACGAUGUCAACUAGUUGUUGGGAUUCAUUUCCUUAGUAACGUAGCUAACGCGUGAAGUUGACCGCCUGGGGAGUACGGUCGCAAGAUUAAAAGCUUAAAGUG
This 560-nucleotide ribosomal RNA is filed under the name uncultured bacterium. RNAcentral describes it as "partial 16S ribosomal RNA". It matches the Rfam family "Bacterial small subunit ribosomal RNA", at positions 355 to 908 of the family's 1533-position model. The record is from RNAcentral.